RNAcentral lists this ribosomal RNA (100 nucleotides) under Octodon degus (degu). Lineage: Eukaryota; Metazoa; Chordata; Mammalia; Rodentia; Octodontidae. The record is from RNAcentral.
GUUUAUGGCCAUACCACCCUGAACAUGGCCGAUCUCAGAAGCUAAGCAGAGUCAGGCCUGGUUAGUACUUAGUACUUGGAUGGGAAACAACCUAUAACUG